Molecule: ribosomal RNA, 497 nt
Filed under: uncultured bacterium
Lineage: Bacteria
Description: partial 16S ribosomal RNA
Rfam family: Bacterial small subunit ribosomal RNA
Source: RNAcentral
GAUGAACGCUGGCGGCGUGCCUAAUACAUGCAAGUCGAGCGAACAGAUAAGGAGCUUGCUCCUUUGACGUUAGCGGCGGACGGGUGAGUAACACGUGGGCAACCUACCUAUAAGACUGGGAUAACUUCGGGAAACCGGAGCUAAUACCGGAUAAUAUUUCGAACCGCAUGGUUCGAUAGUGAAAGAUGGUUUUGCUAUCACUUAUAGAUGGACCCGCGCCGUAUUAGCUAGUUGGUAAGGUAACGGCUUACCAAGGCGACGAUACGUAGCCGACCUGAGAGGGUGAUCGGCCACACUGGAACUGAGACACGGUCCAGACUCCUACGGGAGGCAGCAGUAGGGAAUCUUCCGCAAUGGGCGAAAGCCUGACGGAGCAACGCCGCGUGAGUGAUGAAGGUCUUCGGAUCGUAAAACUCUGUUAUUAGGGAAGAACAUACGUGUAAGUAACUGUGCACGUCUUGACGGUACCUAAUCAGAAAGCCACGGCUAACUACGUG